Long non-coding RNA from Oncorhynchus keta (chum salmon), 531 nucleotides. RefSeq lists it as uncharacterized. The transcript is spliced from 4 exons. The record is from RefSeq and is a predicted model, not a curated record. Lineage: Eukaryota; Metazoa; Chordata; Actinopteri; Salmoniformes; Salmonidae.
AACGAGUUUACAUACACUUAGGUUGGAGACAUUAAAACGAGUUUACAUACACUUAGGUUGGAGUCAUUAAAACUAGUUUACAUACACUUAGGUUGGAGUCAUUAAAACGAGUUUACAUACACUUAGGUUGGAGACAUUAAAACUAGUUUACAUACACUUAGGUUGGAGUCAUUAAAACGAGUUUACAUACACUUAGGUUGGAGUCAUUAAAACUCGUUUACAUACACUUAGGUUGGAGUCAUUAAAACUAGUUUACAUACACUUAGGUUGGAGACAUUAAAACGAGUUUACAUACACUUAGGUUGGAGACAUUAAAACGAGUUUACAUACACUUAGGUUGGAGACAUUAAAACUCGUUUACAUACACUUAGGUUGGAGUCAUUAAAACGAGUUUACAUACACUUAGGUUGGAGUCAUUAAAACGAGUUUACAUACACUUAGGUUGGAGUCAUUAAAACGAGUUUACAUACACUUAGGUUGGAGUCAUUAAAACGAGUUUACAUACACUUAGGUUGGAGUCAUUAAAACGAG